Kogia breviceps (pygmy sperm whale) is the source of this 984-nucleotide non-coding RNA. Lineage: Eukaryota; Metazoa; Chordata; Mammalia; Artiodactyla; Physeteridae. The record is from RefSeq and is a predicted model, not a curated record.
GGAAUGCCAUAUCCCCUGAUCUAUUUGACUCAAACUUUAACAUUCUAUUGAAAGAACACAUCUUCCUAAUAUGGAAAAAUGUGCACAAUAUUUAAACAGUCUAAUAUUCAGAGCCUUCCACCAAAUGUGUGCCUAAACUCCAUUCCAUGUCACACAGCUCAAAAAUGUCCAUUAUAAACUAUCUGCUCUAUUCAAGCUGGCCUCCAAUGCUCUUCUGACUCAGACUUAAUCUAGAGGCCUGUCCUGAUGCAUCCUCAACACAGCAGGGAAAGCAGGAAGAGAGAAAUGCUAACACGAUAUUCUGGUGACGAGUAUUGAUGUGUGUCUGGAGCUGGGCGAACAUCUAAUAUUCAAACGGGUGCUCGUGGGUGAAGCAGAAGAUGAGUGAAAGCUAACAGGAGCCUGGCAUCAGCUGGCUUCCCUGGAGCCCGGUUGGUAAGACUGAGGUCCAUGAAGAUGUGACCCACAAAGGCGAGUGAUGUGGCUGAAUUCACACGCCCAGGGUGGCUGUCAUGGAAGGACACUAACCUAGAUGGCAAUGAUUGGAGCUGAUGAAACAGGAGAAAGUGGCAGCACAAGUCAGGAAGGGAUGCUUAUUGGUACCCGCUAAGCAGACUUGAAGGCAGAAGUUACGGACCCAUUUGGUGAGUAUGUGCAUUAAACAGAGAGUGCAGUGUUGAAAGCCCCUGGGAAGUAGAGUCUGGAUUUCAGUGCAGACAGCCAGUUCAACCACUUAUUAGCUACAUGACACUGCUAAUGUAAAAACCUCCUGAGCCUUUUUACCUGUAAGAUGGAGAUGAUAAUGAUAUUAGCCAUUUAUAAAUGUACAGUGAGGAUUAAACGAGAUGAUACUUUAUCAAGUAAAGUAACUAGAAGUGCCAGGCAGACAAAAGAUACUAUUCAUUGUUACUCCACUGUCUCCGCAAGACUCAAUUUUCAACUUUGUAAAACAGUCAUAACAAUGCUUUUCUUAGCCAGUGUUGU